CCCCAGGCAUUAGCAACCAAUAGGCUUUAGUCCAGCCCCCUAGUAUAUAAGGGGCUGUAGUCUGUCAGUUAGCUCUCUUGUCUCUUAUCUCUUGGACUCAAAAGAAAGCACAAAGUCCUGUAUACUGCAAAUUCAUCUCAUCUAGGCCAAAGCCUAAAGUCCAGCAGCCACUUCUACAACCCUGAAAUGGACGCUUGCGCAUAAAAUGCCUCUGGACUGCAUCUGGCCUGGCGGCCACUUUGUUCCUCAAGCCUGACAGAACCUUACGUCGAGGACGACAUAUGUUAAGCAAGGGAGUUUGUGAUGUCCCAGUACAGACAGGUCUUUGCUGAGGCAGCAACCACCAGAGAACUCAGGGUAAGUGAUGAGCAUCUGGAGGCCACAAAAGC
This is a long non-coding RNA of Hyla sarda, 389 nucleotides long. RefSeq lists it as uncharacterized. Lineage: Eukaryota; Metazoa; Chordata; Amphibia; Anura; Hylidae. The transcript is spliced from 3 exons. The record is from RefSeq and is a predicted model, not a curated record.